Molecule: long non-coding RNA, 319 nt
Organism: Lepidothrix coronata (blue-crowned manakin)
Lineage: Eukaryota; Metazoa; Chordata; Aves; Passeriformes; Pipridae
Exons: 3
Source: RefSeq, a predicted model, not a curated record
CAUCAAAGAACAACAGACAAACAGCAGUGGCUCCCUCUGAGAAGAGAAAGAAAAAGAUCAUCACUGAAAACACCCUAAGGGAAGGAAAAGGAUCAUUGGUCAAUGGUGCAGGGAACACUGGGAGAAGUUGGUGAUGCCUGCAGCUCUCAAGCAGAGGACCCUUAAGUAAACUUUCCCUGAAGUCACCUCUCCUCCCCUGACCUACCCUCCUUUCCCAUAGCACAUUAAUCAGAUAAGUCUUCAAUACCACAACCCAGUCUCACCUGAAAGGCAUCUGCCUCUUACUCCACAUGCUACAAAAUCAAGGUGCUAAGGAAGA